RNAcentral lists this ribosomal RNA (467 nucleotides) under uncultured bacterium. RNAcentral describes it as "partial 16S ribosomal RNA". It matches the Rfam family "Bacterial small subunit ribosomal RNA", at positions 28 to 507 of the family's 1533-position model. The record is from RNAcentral.
GACGAACGCUGGCGGCGUGCUUAACACAUGCAAGUCGAACGGAAAGGCCCUGCUUUUGUGGGGUGCUCGAGUGGCGAACGGGUGAGUAACACGUGAGUAACCUGCCCUUGACUUUGGGAUAACUUCAGGAAACUGGGGCUAAUACCGGAUAGGAGCUCCUGCUGCAUGGUGGGGGUUGGAAAGUUUCGGCGGUUGGGGAUGGACUCGCGGCUUUUAACUUGUUGGGGGGGGUGUGGCUUACCAAGGCUUUGACGGGUAGCCGGCCUGAGAGGGUGACCGGCCACAUUGGGACUGAGAUACGGCCCAGACUCCUACGGGAGGCAGCAGUGGGGAAUAUUGCACAAUGGGCGGAAGCCUGAUGCAGCAACGCCGCGUGCGGGAUGACGGCCUUCGGGUUGUAAACCGCUUUCGCCUGUGACGAAGCGUGAGUGACGGUAAUGGGUAAAGAAGCACCGGCUAACUACGUG